RNAcentral lists this long non-coding RNA (459 nucleotides) under Olea europaea (common olive). RNAcentral describes it as "long non-coding RNA (OEUR_LNC010246)". The record is from RNAcentral. Lineage: Eukaryota; Viridiplantae; Streptophyta; Magnoliopsida; Lamiales; Oleaceae.
GUAAUUCUAUGGUUUUCAGAUAUUAGCCCCCUUGCCUAUUGGGUUUGCCGUGUUCUUGGUGCACUUGGCGACCAUCCCUAUUACAGGUACUGGUAUUAACCCCGCCAGGAGUCUUGGUGCAGCAAUCAUCUACAACAAAGACAAGGCAUGGGAUGAUCACGUAAGCUAAAAUUCAACUGUAUCUGAAUUCAGUAUAAUCAGGAUUCUACUAUUGAAAUAUUCGAGUUAAGGACUCACUCAGACAAUUAUAUCCUAACUUACACUACAAGUCGUGUUAAAUUUGGCGUGUAUAAGGUGAAUGGUAAAAUGUGACAUAUUUUUACGUUGUUAACUUACCACAACCCUCCUAUUUUAGGAUGAUAAGGUUGGAUAAAGUUAGUUAUCUUUUUUCCUGAUAAUGUGCAGUGGAUAUUCUGGGUUGGACCAUUCAUUGGGGCAGCACUUGCAGCUCUCUACCAU